AUGCUUCAACUUAUAUUUGCUGUGGCUUUUUCUGCUGUUCCUCUCACCUUAUACAUUCCACCAAUACGCAGCUUCAAUCUCUUUGUUCAUACCAUCCAACUCUUCCUAAGAGACUCCUCUCUCUUCUCCGAUCGGACUUUUCCUCGUAUCAGACUCGCGCUAUCUCGUAUCUUCAAUUCCAUUUUUCAUAUAUCAUGGUAG
Non-coding RNA from Vicia faba (fava bean), 201 nucleotides. The record is from the annotation of a GenBank genome assembly. Lineage: Eukaryota; Viridiplantae; Streptophyta; Magnoliopsida; Fabales; Fabaceae.